AUAUCGCGUAUACAAGCAUAUAUGCUCCUGACGAGACUCACUACGGACAACGUAAAAUAUGGAAGUCCUGUUGGUCCAGAAGCAAGCUGUUUUCUUACCAUCGGAAGCAACGUUAAUGUGUUAUAGAAGAUUCCAAACUGGUUCAGGUCAGUUUCUUAGCUCAACUUUGUUUUUCUUUUUUUUUCUUGGUAUUCUUGCUGAUCUUGUCUUCUAACUCAUUUUCAGCAUGGGCUACUAGCUAAUGAGACAAUGCUUGACCACGUGAUAGAGUCAGGCCUAGCAAAUGCUCAGAAAAGUCGAAUAAAGGUACAACUUGGUUGUUUUACGAGUUUUCUUCGUCCGUGAUCGUAUCUUCCCUGUGAAAGUUAUGCCUUCAGCAGGCACGCAUGGGUCUUUUGUAGUUUUUCUCUUGGCUCAACGCUCAAACGUUCCAUGUUACGAGGAAACAGGAGCGAGCGUCUUUCACUUUCGUGCCUUAUCAUUACGCUGCCAGCGGUGCUUCUCGUGAGCUUUUUAUAGUCUUUUCAUUCUCUCUCGCUGUUACUUAACGAAGAUGUUGCAGGCUCGCGCUUGUGGCAGCGAUGCUGGAAAGCAUCACAUAAGCUGCCGCUGCUUUUCUUGGAUCCAUGCUUACAAUACCAUCAGCAACAUCUCCACCCGGUAAGCUUUCAUCUCCCACAGCUUUCGAGGCGCCGAGUAUUGUAUUCCAGGCAACGCUGUCGGGAUUGUAAGGCAUGCUAUUGACCAGCUCCCGGGCCUCCUCCAGCCUCCCCGCUCGUCCCAGAAUGUCGACCAUGC
Molecule: long non-coding RNA, 798 nt
Filed under: Selaginella moellendorffii
Lineage: Eukaryota; Viridiplantae; Streptophyta; Lycopodiopsida; Selaginellales; Selaginellaceae
Description: long non-coding RNA (SMOE_LNC001342)
Source: RNAcentral